AAAGGUACAGAUUUUGUACAUGAUUAAAUAUAAAUUCCUGUUCACAUUAUCACUUUGUCCUCCUUUUUUUUAACUUUCUCUCUCUUCUGUCUCGUUAUGUCUUUGUCAGACUCAGAACCACCCUAUGAUGGCACUCAGAGAGGGAUGGACCGGUAUUUGGACAGCCUGUUUGACCCAGUUCUGUCUGAUGGAACUGGGGACCUUGAUGCAUCAGUUUUGUCUGGUAGGAUGAAGGGUGGAGGAGGUAUAGGUGGUGAUGAAGCACAAUCUCCUGCUAGGGUCAAUGUCUCAGCUGCUCUUCAGCCUGGAGCAGUUAGAGUUCUGCCACCCAUUCCAGGUGCUUCAGUAAUGUCCAGUAUGCCAGCGGUGCCCCCAGUGUCAGGUAUUUCUAAUUAAAAUAACUUCAGCUUUACAGGGAUUGAAAUUGAGUGAUUUGGACAAGUAUUCAUUAUGUCUUUCAAUUCUGUCUGUCAGACCCGCAGCAAACUGUCCUGGCCCAACAGCAACAAACCAUCAUCAACCAGCAAGCUGUCAUUAUGGCUCAGCAGAUGACCAUGCAGGCGAUGGCUAUGGUGUCCAGUCCACCAAUGUCUCCGCUCACCAGCCCCCCAACCAGCCCUCCUCCCACUCCCUACAGCACUCUGCCGCCUAGCCCAUACCCUGCCAUUCCUCCCAGCCCCUACGCUAACCUCCCCCCCAGCCCUUACGCCCUUCCUCCCCUUUCCAUGUACACAAGCCCCCCAGCGACCCCCCACCCCACCAUCCACUCCACCUCGAUAAACACCACCCCCAGCACCUUAGAGGAGCAACAGAAGCCCCUGGAGAAGAAGAGCAGCCCCCCAACACCACAACCACGGAGUACCACCACCACAAAGGCUGUUUCAUCUAAUGGGACAUUAGGAAAGAAACAAGCCCCCGCUGCACCAAUUAAACUUGACAGCAGGCCUGCCAAAAGACAUGGUGAGUCAUUGCAUUCAAUCAAAUAUCUGUGUGUUCAAGACUAA
This is a long non-coding RNA of Cyprinus carpio (common carp), 1004 nucleotides long. The record is from Ensembl. NCBI's taxonomy places the organism in Eukaryota, Metazoa, Chordata, Actinopteri, Cypriniformes, Cyprinidae.